This 397-nucleotide long non-coding RNA is filed under the name Capsella grandiflora. RNAcentral describes it as "long non-coding RNA (CGRA_LNC000830)". Lineage: Eukaryota; Viridiplantae; Streptophyta; Magnoliopsida; Brassicales; Brassicaceae. The record is from RNAcentral.
CCAGCUCAGCGUUACGUUGGAACUCGAUAUACCCGACCACUAACACCUCUAUCCAUAUCAAAGUCGUCAGCGAGAACGGCAAUGGUUGUCCCAAAUACGACGAUCCUUCCACCAAUUCCACCUAAGUCGAACCAAACCAGAAAUGCAUCAAUCCAAAACCCAACUUCAACUUCAUUACAAUAAGAACGACAUAGGAAUUUUUAUAUUUGAUAAAACCGCAUAUUAAAUCUAGCUAGACUUUUUGGUUUCAAAUCUGCAUGCAUGUUCCGUGAGUUACAUAUUUAUUUAUUUUGGCCUGAUUUUAUUCCACAUACUAUACUUUUUUCUAUAUAAAACAAAUCUUGAUUAAAUUCUAAUGAGUGACGGAAGAUUGUCCACGUGUAAAAUAAUGUUAGUG